CCUACGGGAGGCUGCAGUGGGGGAUCUUCCGCAAUGGGCGAAAGCCUGACGGAGCAACGCCGCGUGAUCGAAUGAAGGCCUUCGGGUUGUAAAGAUCUGUUGACAGGGACGAAUAAGAAAGGCGAAUAGGUGUGUGUAUGAGGUUACCUGUUUAGAAAGCUCCGGCUAACGACGUGCCAGCAGCCGCGGUAAUACGUAGGGAGCAAGCGGUGGCCGGAAUUAGGGGGCGUAAAGGGCGCGUAGGUGGGCGCUUAAGUCAGGUUUGAAAACUCCGGGCUCAACCUGGAGACUGCACUUGAAACUGGGUGUCUUGAGGGCAGGAGAGGAAAGUGGAAUUCCUAGUGUAGCGGUGAAAUGCGUAGAUAUUAGGAGGAACACCAGUGGCGAAGGCGACUUUCUGGACUGUACCUGACGCUGAGGCGCGAAAGCGUUGGUAGCGAACGGGAUUAGAUACCCCUGUAGUC
Molecule: ribosomal RNA, 464 nt
Filed under: uncultured bacterium
Lineage: Bacteria
Description: partial 16S ribosomal RNA
Rfam family: Bacterial small subunit ribosomal RNA
Source: RNAcentral